Long non-coding RNA from Nematostella vectensis (starlet sea anemone), 829 nucleotides. RefSeq lists it as uncharacterized. The transcript is spliced from 2 exons. Lineage: Eukaryota; Metazoa; Cnidaria; Anthozoa; Actiniaria; Edwardsiidae. The record is from RefSeq and is a predicted model, not a curated record.
UGAGAACAGCCAAAAGGGCGGCAAAGUCCACUCCCGAAGAGAAUUCUAUAGCAAUUAACACCACGUGUCAACGGUACUUUAACAGAAAAAGGAAAGGCUGAUGGACAUUCUUUAACAUCUCGAUACCUGAUCUUUGAAGGCGUCUAGAAGACCUAGAAAACUGUCCUCAACCGAGCAAGGUAAGACGAGCUCGCGACUCAUAAUAAUCAUUAGUAACUUAGCAACCGCAGACCACGUAACCUGUCAAUCAAACAAAGAAGUUUAAAGUCUAGAACUACUGCAUAUUAGAGGUCUGUUAGCGCACUUUGUGUAUCCCUGGACUUACCUCAAUGUUUGGAAAUGCUAAGAUGAGUUGGACAUGCGCAGUAGAAAGGAGUUGACCAAGUUUGGCGGAAAAUCCAAGUGCUGUUGGAAAGAUAUUUUUUUUACAAGAGCAUCAGCGUUUAUUUACCCACAUAUAGCAAAGUAUAGCGGUCGGGAUUGCGUGAGAGCUGAAGGCAUUACAGCCUUCUGUACAGCUGAAUCGAGUUGUUCAAAUUCGGUUGUUAGAGUUAACAAAGGAAAAAAUAUAUAGACAAAAAAUAGAGUCCGGUCUAUCUAUGUACUCAUAUCUAUUUAGAGUUCCUGCAGGCCCUUACUAAAACCCCUUUGCCAAUAUCGAUCAGCAUUGCUUAAUAACUAUUUAGAUUUCCUGGAGCCCUCACUAAAUCCACUUUGUGAAUAUCGAUCGGAGUUGCUGCCGCUGCUUCGCUCGGCUGAUCACACCAAAAAUGCCACUUUGUGAAUAUCGAUCGGAGUUGCUGUCGCUGCUUCGCUCGGCUGAUCACAC